UACGUAGGUGGCAAGCGUUGUCCGGAUUUACUGGGCGUAAAGAGCGCGCAGGCGGUUGAUUAAGUCGAAUGUGAAAGCCCCCGGCUCAACUGGGGAGGGUCAUUCGAUACUGAUCGACUUGAAGGCAGGAGAGAGAAGUGGAAUUCCCGGUGUAGUGGUGAAAUGCGUAGAUAUCAGGAGGAACACCAGUGGCGAAGGCGACUUCUUGGCCUGUUCUUGACGCUGAGGCGCGAAAGCUGGGGGAGCAAACGGG
Molecule: ribosomal RNA, 253 nt
Filed under: uncultured bacterium
Lineage: Bacteria
Description: partial 16S ribosomal RNA
Rfam family: Bacterial small subunit ribosomal RNA
Source: RNAcentral